RNAcentral lists this non-coding RNA (85 nucleotides) under unclassified sequences. RNAcentral describes it as "freshwater-2 RNA". It matches the Rfam family "freshwater-2 RNA". Rfam says of the family: Aquatic, esp. fresh water. No recognized genes The record is from RNAcentral.
ACUAGCGCAAAGUUAGUUUAUGGGGACACCACCCCCGUACCUAGGAGAACUAGGAAUUGGACUUCUUGAAGAGAGAAAACAAAUG